This 166-nucleotide ribosomal RNA is filed under the name uncultured bacterium. Its description in RNAcentral is "partial 16S ribosomal RNA". It matches the Rfam family "Bacterial small subunit ribosomal RNA", at positions 1321 to 1500 of the family's 1533-position model. The record is from RNAcentral.
UGAAGCUGGAAUUGCUAGUAAUCACAGGUCAGCAUACUGUGGUGAAUACGUUCCCGGGCCUUGUACACACCGCCCGUCACACCAUGAGAGUUGAGAAUACCCGAAGCCCAUGUCAAAGUGGUCGAAGGUAGGCUUGAUGAUUGGGGUGAAGUCGUAACAAGGUAAC